Molecule: long non-coding RNA, 1761 nt
Organism: Maylandia zebra (zebra mbuna)
Lineage: Eukaryota; Metazoa; Chordata; Actinopteri; Cichliformes; Cichlidae
Source: RefSeq, a predicted model, not a curated record
UGAAAGUGCUGUCUGUUUCAAGAAGAAAGAACCAAAAGCAUCGUUGAGGCAUCGAAAGACAGAUAACAGGUUCCAAGUGAGCUGAGUUGGGUCAAAAAUGUGAUGUCAGCAGAUGGAAAGUCACCGAUUGGCCAGGGAGUGACAAUCACUGGCUAAGUCAUGAAAGCAACCCGUUCACGAAGAAUCAAACCCUAUUUUUGAAACGAGAGAAGUGGGCACGCACAAACCAACACGGUGGUCUGACACUGAGGAGCAGGCUGCCUCGCUAUAACAACCCCACCCAGACUGAGGUGUGACUCGGUUGUAUUGGAAAACAAGCAAAACCAAGCAGAGUAAAGUCGAGCCAAGCAGGUGCUAGUGGAAAAAAGGCACGACAUGAUCAUUUUCUCAUUACGACGUCUCCAGCUAACAGGGAGGAAAAUACUAACAUCGGCCACUUCAAGGACAAGAACUUGAUUUAUUUAUCUUCUUCUAAACAGCAGUUGACUUUAUAUUUAGCUUGAGGUGGAUUAUUGUGCAGCGCACACAUAAAAAUGGAAAUGUUUUGGGCCACAUUUGGAUUCACGGCUUCAACUGACCUGGAUGAAAAUGGCAAAGCACGUUUGGAGAGAUUUAGGAGGCUGUACGACCAACUUGAAGAUGGCCUUGGGCGAGAUUCUAAGUGCUUUGUACAGGCAGCUGCUGCAGAUGAUGCAAAUCUGGAGGGUUCUCGGAACGAGGUGGUCCAAGCUCCGUUUGUUUGGUUUGGAGGCACUUUUAGUGGAACUUUUGGAGGCAUCAUUGGUGCAACAUGUGCCACUUUGGGAGCGGUUUGCGCAAUGAUUUACUCCAAACUUUGUGGAGAUGUUGAUACAGUUAGUGCAACGGUUGGCUUUGUGAGCAGCGUAUUUGGGGGAGUAGUCGGAGGAGCGUUUACCGGUGCAGUUAGUGGGUCGGUGAAUGCGGCAGCUUUAGUAAAAGAUAGAGAAGAUUAUGGCUUUUUUGGCGAAGUGUUAUGUUUCACUGUUGGCUGGGCAAUCGGUCACGGAAUCGGCCGCUGUUUUGGUCGGCAAGUAGGUGCAGCAGGUGGUGCUAUAGGUGGAGGAUUUGGGGCUUUGUAUGCAACGAGAGCCACAGUUCGUAUAAGCAGAAGUUUAAUCAAAUAUAAUUAUAAGAAAAAUCGAAAAGCAGAAAUGAUGAGGAACGCUAGGGGAGACAAAAGCUUCCAAACACUUGUAAAAGAGUUGAAAACAAUAGAAAAGACUGUCAACAACAUGUUCUCCAGCGAUGCUGUGAAAGACGUCGUGGAUUAGGGUGCAAAGAUUCUGACUGCUGUGACAGGGAUGGAGAAGUGUGUGACGAACGGUCAGUGGACGGCAAACGGUCAGAGUUCCUCUCCUGUUUUUAAGAAGCACCAAUCCCAGAAGAGCUGCAGAGGAUGAGCGAGGGAGUGGAGAAACUCUGAGGCUGUCGGUGAAACAGCAGCUCUGAACAUUUAGUGUUUAUAUUUAGUUGAUUUUUUUUCUGAGUUCCUAAAUUCUCUUUUUGAUUCAUUAAUUUUUCCAAAAUGCUACAAUAUCGAAACUCAACCCUUUUCUUGUUAAACAUGUCAGUGGGAUUUGGGGAUGCUUUAACAACUGCUGUCAGAUUUCUGUGUAAUGUUGUUUAACUACUGUUGUUCUUUCUACUUUGUGCUCUUUAUGAUGCUUGUUACCCCCACAGAGAGGGGAAAUCCCUGCCCUCUCAGAUACUGUUCAAAGAUGAAGGCAAGGCAAGUUUAUU